Molecule: transfer RNA, 68 nt
Filed under: Eustalomyia sp. 28.iv.2001
Lineage: Eukaryota; Metazoa; Arthropoda; Insecta; Diptera; Anthomyiidae
Description: transfer RNA-Leu
Source: RNAcentral
AUUUAAGCUUCAUAUAUAAAGUAUUNNACUUUUAUUAGNAACAUAUAUAUGUCUACAUGAGCUAAUUU